RNAcentral lists this ribosomal RNA (484 nucleotides) under uncultured bacterium. RNAcentral's name for it is "partial 16S ribosomal RNA". It matches the Rfam family "Bacterial small subunit ribosomal RNA", at positions 30 to 507 of the family's 1533-position model. The record is from RNAcentral.
AUUGAACGCUGGCGGCAGGCCUAACACAUGCAAGUCGAGCGGCUGCACAGUGAUUGCUUCUGGUUUCAGCUGCCGACGGGUGGGUAGUGCCUAGAAAUCUCCCUGUUUGUUUUGGCUAGCGUCCUGAAGCGGGCGCUCUUACCCCAUUCGUCCUGACGGAGUACGUGUGGGAUCUUCGGAUCUCCCGCUCUCAGAUGAGCCUAUGUCGGAUUAGCUAGUUGGUGGGGUAAAGGCCUACCAAGGCGACGAUCCGUAACUGGUCUGAGAGGAUGAUCAGUCACACUGGAACUGAGACACGGUCCAGACUCCUACGGGAGGCAGCAGUGGGGAAUAUUGGACAAUGGGCGAAAGCCUGAUCCAGCCAUGCCGCGUGUGUGAAGAAGGUCUUCGGAUUGUAAAGCACUUUUAUUUGGGAGGAAAGGCAGUAAGUUAAUACCUUGCUGUUUUGACGUUACCAAAAGAAUAAGCACCGGCUAACUUCGUG